GUCCUCCUCGCAGCAGCCGCCGACCUGCUUCAGCGCGACGCCGCCCUCCUCGAACGCGCCGGCGGCGGCGGCGCCCUCCGUACAUGCUGCCCUCCGUGUCGCUUGCCGGCGCUGUCCUCGCAGCAGCCUCCGCUGGAGCUCUGGUCCACCCUACAAAUACAACAGUGAAAGCAAAAAAACUGAGAUUGUAGAGUGCAAACUUGAGACUGCACACAAAUGAUGCAUCGAAAUCAUUAAAGCUAUCUCUCUAAAAAAAUCAUAAAAGCUAAUUGAAAAACAUGCAGGUCCAUCAAAUUCAUAACGAGAAACAACUUCAGCUGGACCAGCCACCAGGCCGACAGCACCACAUGUCCAUCUCAAAUGUUGGCUUGCUUCACUGUGAACUCCAUUGUCGUCGGUUGCUGCUUUGCGCUCUUCCCUGGGAUCAACAAGGUCUUGCAUUUGGGAUGUUGCCUUGCUUCAAUAUUGUCUGCACCGUGACAUGUGGCUCCUCCGUGCUCUUCCCCGGUGUCCACACACACGACAUCGUUUGGACCUGAAUAACAAGUAAAUUAAUGAAGAGCGUCAUGCUUUUAGUAAUACGUACAAUCCUUUCAGGCAAAAAAGACUAAUGUAGAGUUCAUAAAGGCCUUCACGGGAUAUGAGUAAUUAAUUACAAUUUUAAUAUUCAUACAAUUUUAUUUUGCGUAUGGAUCUUAUUUUCGUCUCGUGUGUUUGUUUAUAGGCAUGGUUAGAACUGCUACCCCUCAGUUUCUGUUUAUGGUCUACCUCUAGUCUUGUAUUUGCAGUGCUGCUGUUCUUCAUUAUUGCAAGUUGAAUAUUCUUACACUUACGUUUUUUAUUUGAACCACAUCUUCAUCUCGUAUGUUUAUUGUACUAGCGUUAUUCCAAGCCACUGAAGUGCUACCCCCCAGUUUAUGUUCACGAUCUACCUCUGGUCUUGUAUUUGGGGUAUUGGCUUGCUUCAGCAUGAACUCCAUUGUUGUCGGUUGCUGCCUUGUACUCUUCCCUGGGAUCAACAUGGUCUUGUAUUUGGGAUGUUGGCUUGCUUCACUAUUAUUUGCGUCGUGACUGGUGGCUGUUCCAUGCUCUUCCACGAUGUCCACGCAGGUGACAUAGUUUUGUUCACCAGGUACCUCUGGUCUUGUAUCUGGGGUGUUGACUUGCUUCAUCAUUAUCUGUGUGGUUGCCGGUUGCUGCUCCAUGCUUUUCCCCAUUGUACACGUGCUAGGAAUUGAUGGGAUCUGAAUGACAAGACACUAUAUUCAUCGAAGUAAAUGGAUAGGUCGGCUAGUUAUGCUCUUCAGGAAUCGGUACUCCAGCUCCAGGUGCAAACACCAGGUCUUCCCCAACUUGUUUGGUUAUAGGUAAAUAGAGAGAGAGAGAGAGUGCCAUAAAUCACCUAUUUGGUUAAUGGGAGUGCGAGCUGAGAGAUUGAGCAUGUUAGUAGAGAGUCCAACUCUGAUCACUUUAUUAACUCAGGGAGAGAUGGGGAUUAGGAUGAAAUUGUUUGCUAGAGAUGAUCUUAGCCCUUCAUCACAACUUAUGUUAUCCUCUCUAAGAUAAUUAAUUCGUCUCGAACUCCUGCCAACUAAACAAGGAAAGAGACUCUCCUCACCAAAUCCUACAUGUAUCUCUUAUAACACACCAAACAAGAUAUUAUGAGUAAAACUCAAUUUGCCAUGUCUAACCCCACUAUAAACUCCCUUUCUCCCUCUCUGACCUAGCGAAACACCUUAUAGGAUCACUCUUUCAGUGUGAAAACACCUGAUUCAAUGUUAGGUUGUUGGAUUCGGCAAUGGCAAUAUAUGUGACUAUUCUAAAUUUCUGAGUGUCUUCAGCUAUGGCUAGGGUUAACGUUUGAAGCGUUUGAAGUGAAAGACCUCUGUUGUGUGCCAAUGUUUUCUUUUUGUAGUAAUUGGCCAAGUCCAACCAGACUGGAUGGCCAGAGAUGCCACAGGACGAGAUCCGACGGUGCAAAUCACUGGGUUAAUGAGAGACGAACCACAUGAAGUUUCGUUGUCUCUAAUUUGGCUUUUUUCAUCCAUGCUGCCUAGGUAGGCUCUUGCCAUCGUGUUGUUGCAUAGGCAGAAUGUAUUUUGUAUGGUCGUCAAAUAUUGAUGCAUUAAUAUAAUUUUCAUUGCAAAUGUCUUUUUUGUUGAAAUUGUAAUGAGGUGUAAUAGAAAUCUUCUGAACAAGUUGGGUUAGUUCAUUGAGUUGAAAAUUGUUCGGUUUAGUAGAAGACAAAACCGUUACU
Molecule: long non-coding RNA, 2257 nt
Organism: Brachypodium distachyon (stiff brome)
Lineage: Eukaryota; Viridiplantae; Streptophyta; Magnoliopsida; Poales; Poaceae
Exons: 7
Source: RefSeq, a predicted model, not a curated record